This 253-nucleotide ribosomal RNA is filed under the name uncultured bacterium. Its description in RNAcentral is "partial 16S ribosomal RNA". It matches the Rfam family "Bacterial small subunit ribosomal RNA", at positions 78 to 334 of the family's 1533-position model. The record is from RNAcentral.
CGUCUGGUGGGGACAGUGGCGAACGGGUGAGUAACACGUAGGUGACCUGCCCCGGAGUGGGGGACAACCGUUGGAAACGGCGGCUAAUACCCCAUAAGCUCACAUGCUUUAGAAAAGUGUGAGAAAAGUUCCGGCGCUUUGGGAGGGGCCUGCGGUCCAUCAGCUAGUUGGUGAGGUAAUGGCUCACCAAGGCGACGACGGAUAGGGGGCCUGAGAGGGUGGUCCCCCACACUGGAACUGCGACACGGUCCAG